UACAGAGGGUGCGACCGUUAAUCGGAAUUACUGGGCGUAAAGCGUGCGUAGACGGUUAUUUAAGUCGGGUGUGAAAGCCCCGGGCUCAACCUGGGAAUUGCAUUCGAGACUGAAUAGCUAGGGUACGGUAGAGGGAAGUGGAAUUUCCGGUGUAGCGGUGAAAUGCGUAGAUAUCGGAAGGAACAUCAGUGGCGAAAGCGACUUCCUGGACCAGUACCGACGUUCAGGCACGAAAGCGUGGGGAGCAAACAGG
This 253-nucleotide ribosomal RNA is filed under the name uncultured bacterium. Its description in RNAcentral is "partial 16S ribosomal RNA". It matches the Rfam family "Bacterial small subunit ribosomal RNA", at positions 524 to 776 of the family's 1533-position model. The record is from RNAcentral.